This 776-nucleotide long non-coding RNA is filed under the name Ananas comosus (pineapple). Its description in RNAcentral is "long non-coding RNA (ACOM_LNC016010)". The record is from RNAcentral. Lineage: Eukaryota; Viridiplantae; Streptophyta; Magnoliopsida; Poales; Bromeliaceae.
UUUUUGUUUUCUUUUUUAAGAAAAAUUGGCGUGCACCAUAUUUCGUUCAUUCUUUAUAAAAAUAAGUUUAGCUGAAAAUACAAAACAUCUAUAUUUUGAAGUUGAAAUUUUGGAUAUCAACUAUUAACUUCUUUACCAUCUGCGCUAGAGACAGUUGGUGACCCUCGAACACGGAGAAAGGUGAGUAGAAUACUACCGAUUGCAAAGGGCUCCGUUGCUAUACAAUAUGUUUUUGAUGAUAGAGCUUUUGAACCGACGAUCGUCACUGCUGAAAAUAAUCUAGAUUACUAGACGUAUCUAAAAAUCAAAUUUUAUAUUUUUUAAUAUUAUUCUCUUGUACAUUAAGUGGACAUAAAAAAAUGAACGGUUAAAAAUAAAUAUUCUUCAAAAAUUGAUGAUAGGAUUCUUCUAAUCGAUAUUAAGAAUAUAAAUCUCAUUUUAAAAUUUUAAAAAUUUUACAACCAAAAUUCAAUUGAUUUAAAUUUUCUUACAUCGUCAAAUGAGCAAACGCCUCAUAUCGGUUAUUAAAAUUAUAAAUUUUGUAACCCUUUGAUUAAUAAGUCAAUAAUGUCAAAAAAAAUAGAAAUUUAAUUGCUACAUACUCCAAGUAGUAUAUAUGAUGUUCAAUACUGUCGAUCGUCAAUUUGGAGACUCCAUCAUUAAAAUAAAUCGAUAGCAAUGAAGGCGCCGUUUACUAUUUGAUAAUAUUCUAGCCCAACUCUCUCUCCUUCUAUAUAGAGAGAGAGUAAGAGAGAGAGGCAUUAAGAAUGCAAACG